UGCAUUCACUACUGUAAGUCGCUCUGGAUAAAAGUGUCUGCUAAAUGACUAAAA
This is a non-coding RNA of Salmo salar (Atlantic salmon), 54 nucleotides long. NCBI's taxonomy places the organism in Eukaryota, Metazoa, Chordata, Actinopteri, Salmoniformes, Salmonidae. The record is from Rfam.